This 201-nucleotide long non-coding RNA is filed under the name Solanum tuberosum (potato). RNAcentral's name for it is "long non-coding RNA (STUB_LNC010189)". Lineage: Eukaryota; Viridiplantae; Streptophyta; Magnoliopsida; Solanales; Solanaceae. The record is from RNAcentral.
CCGGUUGUAUAGAGUUAUGCGAUGUUUCUAUGCUCUUCUUCUUACGAAGUGUAAAUGAUAUUGAAUAUGUCUCAUUUUAUGCUAUUAGUAUGAAUGAUGUGUUGUGCUUGAUUAGUACAAUUAUGAUGAUAUUUUGAUUCCUUGUAGGUACUCAGUACUUUAUAUUUCAGAGUAAAACGUACAAUAAGUAUAUGGUUAAUC